UGCGCCCUACGGGGCGCAGCAGUGGGGGAUAUUGCACAAUGGGGGGAACCCUGAUGCAGCGACGCCGCGUGGGUGAAGAAGUAUUUCGGUAUGUAAAGCCCUAUCGGCAGGGAAGAAAUUGGACGGUACCUGACUAAGAAGCCCCGGCUAACUACGUGCCAGCAGCCGCGGUAAUACGUAGGGGGCAAGCGUUAUCCGGAUUCACUGGGGGUAAAGGGAGCGGAGACGGCCAUGCAAGCCUGGAGUGAAAGCCCGGGGCCCAACCCCGGGACUGCUCUGGGAAAUGUGCGGCUGGAGGUCGGGAG
Molecule: ribosomal RNA, 305 nt
Filed under: uncultured bacterium
Lineage: Bacteria
Description: bacterial SSU rRNA
Rfam family: Bacterial small subunit ribosomal RNA
Source: RNAcentral